UACAGAGGGGGCAAGCGUUGUUCGGAAUUACUGGGCGUAAAGGGCGCGUAGGCGGCCUGUUAAGUCGAACGUGAAAUCCCUGGGCUCAACCCAGGAACUGCGUCCGAUACUGGCAGGCUUGAAUUCGGGAGAGGGAUGCGGAAUUCCAGGUGUAGCGGUGAAAUGCGUAGAUAUCUGGAGGAACACCGGUGGCGAAGGCGGCAUCCUGGACCGAUAUUGACGCUGAGGCGCGAAAGCUAGGGGAGCAAACGGG
RNAcentral lists this ribosomal RNA (253 nucleotides) under uncultured bacterium. RNAcentral describes it as "partial 16S ribosomal RNA". It matches the Rfam family "Bacterial small subunit ribosomal RNA", at positions 524 to 776 of the family's 1533-position model. The record is from RNAcentral.